This 497-nucleotide ribosomal RNA is filed under the name uncultured bacterium. RNAcentral describes it as "partial 16S ribosomal RNA". It matches the Rfam family "Bacterial small subunit ribosomal RNA", at positions 28 to 507 of the family's 1533-position model. The record is from RNAcentral.
GAUGAACGCUGGCGGCGUGCCUAAUACAUGCAAGUCGAGCGAACAGACGAGGAGCUUGCUCCUCUGACGUUAGCGGCGGACGGGUGAGUAACACGUGGAUAACCUACCUAUAAGACUGGGAUAACUUCGGGAAACCGGAGCUACUACCGGAUAAUAUAUUGAACCGCAUGGUUCAAUAGUUAAAGACGGUUUUGCUGUCACUUAUAGAUGGAUCCGCGCCGCAUUAGCUAGUUGGUAAGGUAACGGCUUACCAAGGCAACGAUGCGUAGCCGACCUGAGAGGGUGAUCGGACACACUGGAACUGAGACACGGUCCAGACUCCUACGGGAGGCAGCAGUAGGGAAUCUUCCGCAAGGGGCGAAAGCCUGACGGAGCAAAGCCGCGUGAGUGAUGAAGGUCUUCGGAUCGUAAAACUCUGUUAUUAGGGAAGAACAAAUGUGUAAGUAACUAUGCACGUAUUGACGGUACCUAAUCAGAAAGCCACGGCUAACUACGUG